This 160-nucleotide ribosomal RNA is filed under the name uncultured bacterium. Its description in RNAcentral is "partial 16S ribosomal RNA". It matches the Rfam family "Bacterial small subunit ribosomal RNA", at positions 334 to 508 of the family's 1533-position model. The record is from RNAcentral.
GACUCCUACGGGAGGCAGCAGUAGGGAAUAUUGCACAAUGGAGGAAACUCUGAUGCAGCCAUGCCGCGUGUGUGAAGAAGGCCUUCGGGUUGUAAAGCACUUUCGGAGGGGAGGAAGAAAAUGACAUUACCCUCAGAAGAAGCACCGGCUAACUCCGUGC